UACGGGGGGAGCAAGCGUUGUUCGGAUUUACUGGGCGUAAAGGGCGCGUAGGCGGUCGUGACAAGUCACUUGUGAAAUCUCCGGGCUUAACUCGGAACGGUCAAGUGAUACUGUCGGACUAGAGUACAGAAGGGGCAACUGGAAUUCCCAGUGUAGAGGUGAAAUUCGUAGAUAUUGGGAAGAACACCAGUGGCGAAGGCGGCUAACUGGUCCGGUACUGACGCUGAGGUGCGAAAGCGUGGGGAGCAAACAGG
Molecule: ribosomal RNA, 254 nt
Filed under: uncultured bacterium
Lineage: Bacteria
Description: partial 16S ribosomal RNA
Rfam family: Bacterial small subunit ribosomal RNA
Source: RNAcentral